RNAcentral lists this ribosomal RNA (253 nucleotides) under uncultured bacterium. Its description in RNAcentral is "partial 16S ribosomal RNA". It matches the Rfam family "Bacterial small subunit ribosomal RNA", at positions 524 to 776 of the family's 1533-position model. The record is from RNAcentral.
UACGUAGGGUGCAAGCGUUAAUCGGAAUUACUGGGCGUAAAGCGUGCGCAGGCGGUUGUGUAAGACAGAUGUGUAAUCCCCGGGCUCAACCUGGGAACUGCAUUUGUGACUGCACGGCUCGAGUGCGGCAGAGGGGGAUGGAAUUCCGCGUGUAGCAGUGAAAUGCGUAGAUAUGCGGAGGAACACCGAUGGCGAAGGCAAUCCCCUGGGCCUGCACUGACGCUCAUGCACGAAAGCGUGGGGAGCAAACAGG